CGGGGCGCACCAGCAGUGGGGAAUAUUGCACAAUGGGCGCAAGCCUGAUGCAGCAACGCCGCGUGAGGGAUGAAGGCCUUCGGGUUGUAAACCUCUUUUAGCAGGGAAGAAGCGAAAGUGACGGUACCUGCAGAAAAAGCACCGGCUAACUACGUGCCAGCAGCCGCGGUAAUACGUAGGGUGCAAGCGUUGUCCGGAAUUAUUGGGCGUAAAGAGCUCGUAGGCGGUUUGUCACGUCUGCUGUGAAAAUCCAAGGCUCAACCUUGGACUUGCAGUGGGUACGGGCAGGCUAGAGUGCGGUAGGGGAGAUGGGAAUUCCUGGUGUAGCGGUGGAAUGCGCAGAUAUCAGGAGGAACACCAAUGGCGAAGGCACAUCUCUGGGCCGUAACUGACGCUGAGGAGCGAAAGCGUGGGGAGCGAACAGGAUUAGAUACCCUCGUAGUC
Molecule: ribosomal RNA, 444 nt
Filed under: uncultured bacterium
Lineage: Bacteria
Description: partial 16S ribosomal RNA
Rfam family: Bacterial small subunit ribosomal RNA
Source: RNAcentral